GCUUUGAUAGCUCAGUUGGAGAGCGUCAGACUGAAGAUCUGAAGGUCCCUGGUUCGAUCCCGGGUCAAAGCA
RNAcentral lists this transfer RNA (72 nucleotides) under Pythium insidiosum. RNAcentral's name for it is "tRNA-Phe". It matches the Rfam family "tRNA". From Rfam's summary of the family: Transfer RNA (tRNA) molecules are approximately 80 nucleotides in length. Their secondary structure includes four short double-helical elements and three loops (D, anti-codon, and T loops). Lineage: Eukaryota; Oomycota; Peronosporomycetes; Pythiales; Pythiaceae. The record is from RNAcentral.